Long non-coding RNA from Poecilia latipinna (sailfin molly), 1591 nucleotides. RefSeq lists it as uncharacterized. The transcript has 2 exons. Lineage: Eukaryota; Metazoa; Chordata; Actinopteri; Cyprinodontiformes; Poeciliidae. The record is from RefSeq and is a predicted model, not a curated record.
GUCAACUGUGGAGGCUGAGAGCUCCGGAGAGUGCUGUGUGGGUUGGAAGCCUCCUCUCUCAAACACACAAAUCUGAGGGAGGUGGAGGCAGCAGAGCUUGCUUCACCGGCUGCCCAUUGAUCAGACUUAAAGGAUUCAGAGUAGAAACAAGGGGAGAGCAGAGAAAGGAUGCAGGGGGGCGAUGGGGGGAGUGGUAAGAUAGAAAGACAGAAAGAUGCAAAUCCUGAAAUGAAGAGGCAGAUCCCAGCAGCUGUUUGGUGGUGGGGGGGAAACCCUGGGUUUACCAAUCUGGAUGAAGCUUAUUGGACAGACGAUUGACUGCAGGAGAGGAGAUGGAGAACUUCUGCAGCAUCCGUCCACCUUCGGCCAUUUUGAGUUGGAGAAAACCUUUUAAACACUGAAAAGCAAAGGAGGAGAGAGUUAGCUCAUUAUCAACAUGCAUUUCUGGGUCAAAAUAGUGUUUAUAAAGGUUAAUUUAUUUUUCAUCUGUAGACCAACAUAAGCAUCAUUAGCCAGCUGAGGUGUAGUUUUAUUUUUUUACAGUGACCACCAGGGGGCGCUGCUCCCCACUCACUGAACAUGCUGAAAUUAGAACAAAAUGCAAUUCAUAUGAGGCGUAACUAAAACAUUUUGUGCAGAUUAUGCCACUCUGGGCAGAGAGCCAUUGUCUCCUUAUUAAAAACACUAAUAGAGGAGUUCCCCAUUUUUGAAAAAUGGAAGAAUGAGGACGUACUCCAGAAAAUUUUAUUCGUAAACAUGUAAUGUUUUGUUUUUAGAUUAGUUAAAAACUUACCAAAUCCUCCAUAUUGAUGCUAAAAAAAGCACAUGUCAGUUUUCUUGGGCAAAAAAAACAACAACAAAAAAUCCUGGGAAUUCUGCCGUCGUUGCUUUGCAAAAAUUCAGCAAGCAUAGCGCUACAGAUGCAUAAAGUCAGGUUGCUUUAACAAGUCAAGAACAAUAUCCUCAUCCGGGGUUGUUGCAGGAAGUGUGAAAUCAGAUCUGUAUCACUCUUACUUGGAAAAAGCGACACCAGCAAAUAACUUUUUCAUGCGUGUUGCUGAGGGAGGAAAUUGCCAGGACAUAUGUAGGUGAAGGUGCAAGUAGGAAAUAGGUGUCUGGUUGUUUAAAAAAAAAAAAAAAUCUGUAUUCACAACUUUUGCGAUUGUGUUUUUGUAAGAAAAAAAAAAAACAAACUGGCAGAAAUAGUUGUUUUUGCAUCAUUACGAGCUGCACACGCCCUUCUCGGCAGACUUACAUCAGCUUGAGGUCGUUUCCCUGCUCAUUAAAAUCUCCCCCGCCUGGACCGAGGCGCCCAAUCAGAGCAGCGGAGGAGCCAGCGGGUGCCCAGCGUUUGCUCAGUAGUCAGUGUAGAUCCUGUGGGGCUGGCAGCAGCUACAUCUGGCUACUGGGUCUCUGCUGACGACCAAUCCGGUCCCAGAAUUCAGGACUGUCGCAGACGUUUGGUUUCUCCUCACCUGGGACUAGUUCUGGACCUGGCAUACAGUGUAGGAUCCUGUGUGUGUCCGUCUACAGCUACAUUGUCUGCUGGGUUUCAGGCCUGUCUACUUUAAAGUCACCUUUCAGAUGAAUA